This 73-nucleotide transfer RNA is filed under the name Cricetulus griseus (Chinese hamster). It matches the Rfam family "tRNA". From Rfam's summary of the family: Transfer RNA (tRNA) molecules are approximately 80 nucleotides in length. The record is from Rfam by way of RNAcentral. Lineage: Eukaryota; Metazoa; Chordata; Mammalia; Rodentia; Cricetidae.
GGGGAUAUGGUUCAGUGGUUAAGAGCACUGGCUGCUCUUCCAGAGGACCUGGGUUCAAAUUCCAGCAUCCACA